AGGAUGAACGCUGGCGGCGUGCCUAAUACAUGCAAGUCGAGCGAACGGAUGAGAAGCUUGCUUCUCUGAUGUUAGCGGCGGACGGGUGAGUAACACGUGGAUAACCUACCUAUAAGACUGGGAUAACUUCGGGAAACCGGAGCUAAUACCGGAUAAUAUUUUGAACCGCAUGGUUCAAAAGUGAAAGACGGUCUUGCUGUCACUUAUAGAUGGAUCCGCGCUGCAUUAGCUAGUUGGUAAGGUAACGGCUUACCAAGGCAACGAUGCAUAGCCGACCUGAGAGGGUGAUCGGCCACACUGGAACUGAGACACGGUCCAGACUCCUACGGGAGGCAGCAGUAGGGAAUCUUCCGCAAUGGGCGAAAGCCUGACGGAGCAACGCCGCGUGAGUGAUGAAGGUCUUCGGAUCGUAAAACUCUGUUAUUAGGGAAGAACAUAUGUGUAAGUAACUGUGCACAUCUUGACGGUACCUAAUCAGAAAGCCACGGCUAACUACGUGCCAGCAGCCGCGGUAAUACGUAGGUGGCAAGCGUUAUCCGGAAUUAUUGGGCGUAAAGCGCGCGUAGGCGGUUUUUAAGUCUGAUGUGAAAGCCCAGGUCAACCGUGGAGGGUCAUUGGAAACUGGAAAAUUGAGUGCAGAAGAGGACAAGUGGAAUUCCAUGUGUAGCGGGUGAAAUUGCGGCAGCAGCAUCUGGGAGGCAACACCAGUGGCGAAGGCCGACUUCCUGGGUCUGUAACCUGAACCGCUUGAUGUGCGAAACAGCGUUGG
Molecule: ribosomal RNA, 769 nt
Filed under: uncultured Staphylococcus sp.
Lineage: Bacteria; Bacillati; Bacillota; Bacilli; Caryophanales; Staphylococcaceae
Description: bacterial SSU rRNA
Rfam family: Bacterial small subunit ribosomal RNA
Source: RNAcentral